This 460-nucleotide ribosomal RNA is filed under the name uncultured bacterium. Its description in RNAcentral is "partial 16S ribosomal RNA". It matches the Rfam family "Bacterial small subunit ribosomal RNA", at positions 338 to 795 of the family's 1533-position model. The record is from RNAcentral.
CCUACGGGAGACAGCAGUGAGGAAUAUUGGUCAAUGGACGAGAGUCUGAACCAGCCAAGUAGCGUGAAGGAUGACUGCCCUAUGGGUUGUAAACUUCUUUUAUAUGGGAAUAAAAUGUUCCACGUGUGGGAUUUUGUAUGUACCAUAUGAAUAAGGAUCGGCUAACUCCGUGCCAGCAGCCGCGGUAAUACGGAGGAUCCGAGCGUUAUCCGGAUUUAUUGGGUUUAAGGGGAGCGUAGGUGGAUUGUUAAGUCAGUUGUGAAAGUUUGCGGCUCAACCGUAAAAUUGCAGUUGAAACUGGCAGUCUUGAGUACAGUAGAGGUGGGCGGAAUUCGUGGUGUAGCGGUGAAAUGCUUAGAUAUCACGAAGAACUCCGAUUGCGAAGGCAGUUCACUGGACUGCAACUGACACUGAGGCUCGAAAGUGUGGGUAUCAAACAGGAUUAGAUACCCCGGUAGUC